The sequence is an unclassified non-coding RNA, 264 nucleotides long. The stretch from base 1 to 46 matches the Rfam family "Eukaryotic small subunit ribosomal RNA", at positions 1786 to 1831 of the family's 1831-position model.
AAGUCGUAACAAGGUUUCCGUAGGUGAACCUGCGGAAGGAUCAUUAACGAAUUUCAAGGUGCGAUUUAUCGUGCUGAAUUCUCUCAACCCGUGCUCCUUAUAAUGUGUCUUGGUGGUGCCGAGAGUGUCUUCCCUGGAAGCUUGCUCUCCCAGACGUAAUACGCCUGGAGCAGCCCACCGAUGUCUUUUAAACACUAUCUUAUUUGUCUGAAACCAUAUAAAUUAAAAAUUUAAAAACUAUGAACAACGGAUCUCUAGGCUCUU